Molecule: long non-coding RNA, 585 nt
Organism: Mustela lutreola (European mink)
Lineage: Eukaryota; Metazoa; Chordata; Mammalia; Carnivora; Mustelidae
Exons: 2
Source: RefSeq, a predicted model, not a curated record
CCACACGACUACCCCUCCGGCUGGCAACGCAAGGGGAAACCCCCGGACGGUCCACGCACCCCUGCUGGGUCGCCCGGGACUGGGGAAAGUCAAUCUUGGGAGCCCUCCGAGUCAAUCUUGGGAGUCCAGGGACCUCUCCUACCAGCCCCCAGAAUUUGCGCACUCGGCGCCAAUGCCCCCCCCCCCCAACCACGCCGCGGGAGGGCAAAGGAAGCCCCGGCUGCACCCGCAAAGAGGAGGGAAGGGGCGGGGCGGGGACCUGUGCGUUCAGGCUCCCGGCGCCCCCUGGUCGGCCCGCCGCUCCAACGACCCCGCGCUCGCCGCUAGCGGACCCCGGAGAGCAACGGAGCGAGCGCGCCCUUACCUGUAGAAACCAGUGGCCGGUCUCUCCGAUGAGCGGGAAGCCCAUGGAGCCUUUGGCGGGCUUAGGGGCUGCUCGAGAGGUGGUGAGAUGAAGCCGUGAAUCAAGCUGGUGGAUUAGCUCUCCCCGAAACCAUCACACUCGGAAAACUUUGGAAAACUUUGUCCAGCGGGAGCCUCUCUCGUAAGAGCUAUCGGAGAGAAAAUGCGAUCGAUUUGUCAAAA